GACGAACGCUGGCGGCGUGCUUAACACAUGCAAGUCGAACGCUGAAGCUCAGCUUGCUGGGUGGAUGAGUGGCGAACGGGUGAGUAACACGUGAGUAACCUGCCCUCUUCUUUGGGAUAACGCCCGGAAACGGGUGCUAAUACUGGAUAUUCACUGAUUCUCGCCUGGGGGUUGGUGGAAAGGUUUUUUCUGGUGGGGGAUGGCCUCGCGGCCUAUCAGCUUGUUGGUGGGGUGAUGGCCUACCAAGGCUUUGACGGGUAGCCGGCCUGGGAGGGUGACCGGUGACGUUGGGACUGAGAUACGGGCCAGACUCCUGCGGGAGGCAGCAGGGGGGAAUAUUGGACAAUGGGCGAAAGCCGGGUGCAGCGGCGCCGCGGGGGGGAGGGAGGGCUUGGGGUUGUAAACCUCUGUCGCUCAUGGUCAAGGCGCAGGAUGGGGUUGGGGUGAGGGUAGUGGGUAAAGAAGCGCCGGCUAACUACGUG
RNAcentral lists this ribosomal RNA (482 nucleotides) under uncultured bacterium. RNAcentral describes it as "partial 16S ribosomal RNA". It matches the Rfam family "Bacterial small subunit ribosomal RNA", at positions 28 to 507 of the family's 1533-position model. The record is from RNAcentral.